Molecule: ribosomal RNA, 425 nt
Filed under: uncultured bacterium
Lineage: Bacteria
Description: partial 16S ribosomal RNA
Rfam family: Bacterial small subunit ribosomal RNA
Source: RNAcentral
GUGGGGAAUAUUGGACAAUGGGCGCAAGCCUGAUCCAGCCAUGCCGCGUGAGUGAUGAAGGCCUUAGGGUUGUAAAGCUCUUUCAGUGGGGACGAUAAUGACGGUACCCACAGAAGAAGCCCCGGCUAACUUCGUGCCAGCAGCCGCGGUAAUACGAAGGGGGCUAGCGUUGUUCGGAUUUACUGGGCGUAAAGCGCACGUAGGCGGAUCGUUAAGUCGGGGGUGAAAUCCUGGAGCUCAACUCCAGAACUGCCUUCGAUACUGGCGAUCUUGAGUCCGGAAGAGGUGAGUGGAACUCCUAGUGGAGAGGUGGAAUUCGUAGAUAUUAGGAAGAACACCAGUGGCGAAGGCGGCUCACUGGUCCGGUACUGACGCUGAGGUGCGAAAGCGUGGGGAGCAAACAGGAUUAGAUACCCGAGUAGACC